UGGAUUCUCUUUUGGUGCGGGUGG
This 24-nucleotide non-coding RNA is filed under the name Arabidopsis thaliana (thale cress). The record is from RNAcentral. Lineage: Eukaryota; Viridiplantae; Streptophyta; Magnoliopsida; Brassicales; Brassicaceae.